UGUCUGGAUAGAGGAGCGAAGACCAUGAGUAGGUGUCAGGAGUCGCCAGCAAAGAUUGGCGCUAAAAGGGGUCAUCGCCGAAGCGAUUAACCGCAGGCAAAGGUAAAUUGCUGGGCUUAUGCUAAACAGGUAUAAGACUGUCACCUGACUGUAGGUGGAGUGCUAUCUUGCAA
This 173-nucleotide non-coding RNA is filed under the name Anaerosporomusa subterranea. RNAcentral describes it as "Anaerosporomusa subterraneum Lysine sequence". It matches the Rfam family "Lysine riboswitch aptamer". From Rfam's summary of the family: Riboswitches are metabolite binding domains within certain messenger RNAs that serve as precision sensors for their corresponding targets. Allosteric rearrangement of mRNA structure is mediated by ligand binding, and this results in modulation of gene expression. Lineage: Bacteria; Bacillati; Bacillota; Negativicutes; Acetonemataceae. The record is from Rfam by way of RNAcentral.